CCGACGGAGCAGCGAAACCCUUCUUCCCUGCCCUCUCUCUUUCUUAUUCCUUCCCCAAAAUUUCCCUCUCUGAAGACUCUGUUUGUCUUGUUUUCUUCAGCCAACAGCAGAAUCGAUGCCAACUCCUGCUGCCUUCCAUCGGCGACGUCACGUGCCGAUCUCGCCGGAGCAGCAACAACCAUGGGAGCUUGUGUGAGCUCGAGUCCAUCUUGCCGUUGUCGGGAAUCAACUCCCCUCGGAUGGAUCCGUGACCCAACGCCCCAUCCAUAAGUUGUAGGUACAGGUAAAGAGUUACUUUGACGUGAGCGCGC
Molecule: long non-coding RNA, 311 nt
Organism: Hordeum vulgare subsp. vulgare (domesticated barley)
Lineage: Eukaryota; Viridiplantae; Streptophyta; Magnoliopsida; Poales; Poaceae
Exons: 3
Source: RefSeq, a predicted model, not a curated record